This 1434-nucleotide ribosomal RNA is filed under the name uncultured bacterium. RNAcentral's name for it is "bacterial SSU rRNA". It matches the Rfam family "Bacterial small subunit ribosomal RNA". The record is from RNAcentral.
CGAACGCUGGCGGCGUGCCUCAUACAUGCAAGUCGAACGAGGUAUGGCGGAGUGGCAACACUAUAGCUGUGCUUAAGUGGCGAACGGGUGAGUAACACGUAGGUAACCUGCCUGUCAGAGGGGGAUAACGUUUCGAAAGGGACGCUAAAACCGCAUGAGUUCCCGAGGGAGCAUUUUCUUGGGAAGAAAGGAAGAGAUUCUGCUGACAGAGGGGCCUGCGGCCUAUUAGCUAGUUGGAAAGGUAAGAGCUUACCAAGGCGACGAUAGGUAGCCGAUCUGAGAGGAUGAACGGCCACACUGGAACUGAGAAACGGUCCAGACUCCUACGGGAGGCAGCAGUAGGGAAUAUUCGUCAAUGGGGGGAACCCUGAACGAGCAACGCCGCGUGAGUGAAGAAGGUUUUCGGAUCGUAAAGCUCUGACACCGGGGAAGAUAAUGACGGUACCCGGAGAGGAAGCCACGGCAAACUACGUGCCAGCAGCCGCGGUAAUACGUAGGUGGCAAGCGUUGUCCGGAAUUAUUGGGCGUAAAGCGCGUGUAGACGGUUAUGUAAGCGUGGGUGUAAAAUUCCAGGGCUCAACCCUGGGCAGCAGUAUGAACUGCAUAACUUGAGUACGGGAGAGGCAAGUGGAAUUCCCAGUGUAGCAGUGAAAUGCGUAGAGAUUGGGAGGAACACCAGUGGCGAAGGCGGCUUGCUGGACCGCAACUGACGUUGAGACGCGAAAGCCAGGGGAGCAAACGGGAUUAGAUACCCCGGUAGUCCUGGCCGUAAACGAUGGUUACUAGGUGUAGGGGGUAUCGACCCCUCCUGUGCCGCAGUGAACGCACUAAGUAACCCGCCUGAGUAGUACGAUCGCAAGAUUGAAACUCAAAGGAAUUGACGGGGGCCCGCACAAGCAGUGGAGCAUGUGGUUUAAUUCGACGCGACCCGAAGAACCUUACCAGGUCUUGACAUCUAUCUAAGGGAGUAGAGAUACACCUGUGCCUUUUUAGGAAAGAUAAGACAGGUGGUGCAUGGUUGUCGUCAGCUCGUGUCGUGAGAUGUUGGGUUAAGUCCCGCAACGAGCGCAACCCUUGAUGUCGGUUGCCAGCAGGUAAAGCUGGGCACUCCGGCGUGACUGCCGUAGAGAAUACGGAGGAAGGUGGGGAUGACGUCAAAUCAUCAUGCCCUAUAUGACCUGGGCUACACACGUGCUACAAUGGGGUGAACAACGGGAAGCGAGGCAGCGAUGCCGAGCGGAACCCUAAAAACACCUCUCAGUUCGGAUUGCAGGCUGCAACUCGCCUGCAUGAAGUCGGAAUUGCUAGUAAUCGCGGAUCAGCAAGCCGCGGUGAAUACGUUCCCGGGCCUUGUACACACCGCCCGUCACACCACGAAAGUUGACAACGCCCGAAGUCGGUGGGGUAACCGCAAGGAGCCAGCCGCGGAAGGUG